UUAAAGAGUGCGUAAUAGCUCACUGGUCAAGUGGUUCCGCGCCGACAAUGUAGCGGGGCUCAAGUACACCGCCGAAGCUGUGGCACUCACACGUGUGCUUCGCAUCGUCUUUCGGGAUGGUGUGCAGU
Molecule: ribosomal RNA, 128 nt
Filed under: Micromonospora craterilacus
Lineage: Bacteria; Bacillati; Actinomycetota; Actinomycetes; Micromonosporales; Micromonosporaceae
Description: Jishengella sp. NA12 partial 23S ribosomal RNA
Rfam family: Bacterial large subunit ribosomal RNA (bases 1-83)
Source: RNAcentral